UGAAUACGAGACGCUAAGGCGUCGAAGUAGUGUAUGUCAUACUUCCAAGAAAAGCUUGCACUGUCAUAGAUAAAAAACGCCUGUACCAUAACCGACACAGGUGGGUAGGUAGAGUAUACUAAGGGGCGCGAGAUAACUCUCUCUAAGGAACUCGGCAAAAUAACUCCGUAACUUCGGGAGAAGGAGUGCCUUAUUCGUAAGGUUGCAAUAACAAGAUCCAAGCAACUGUUUAUCAAAAACACAGGUCUCCGCUAAGUCGUAAGACGAUGUAUGGGGGCUGACGCCUGCCCAGUGCCAGAAGGUUAAAGAAGUUGGUUAGCAAUUGCGAAGCUGAUAACUGAAGCCCUGGUGAACGGCGGCCGUAACAAUAACGGUCCUAAGGUAGCGAAAUUCCUUGUCGGGUAAGUUCCGACCCGCACGAAAGGCGUAAUGAUUUGGAUACUGUCUCGGAGAGGGGCUCGGUGAAAUAGACUUGUCUGUGAAGAUGCGGACUACCUGCACCAGGACAGAAAGACCCUAUGAAGCUUUACUGUAACUUGAAAUUGAAAUUGGACUUUAUUCGCGCAGCAUAGGUGGGAGGCGUUGAUUAUAAUCUUGCGGGAUUAUUGGAGCCAUCAGUGAGAUACCACUCUUGUAAUGUUAGAUUUCUAACUUUGAAUCAUUAUCUGGUCAAAGAACAGUUUCAGGCGGGCAGUUUGACUGGGCGGUCGCCUCCUAAACGGUAACGGAGGCGUACAAAGGUUCCCUCUGAACGGUUAGAAAUCGUAUCUAGAGUGUAAAGGCAUAAGGAAGCUUGACUGUGAGACCUACAAGUCGAGCAGGGACGAAAGUCGGUCUUAGUGAUCUGACGGUACUGAGUGGAAAGGCCGUCACUCAACGGAUAAAAGUUACUCUAGGAUAACAGGCUGAUCUCCCCCAAGAGUUCACAUCGACGGGGAGGUUUGGCACCUCGAUGUCGGCUCAUCGCAUCCUGGGGCGGUAGUACGUCCCAAGGGUUGGGCUGUUCGCCCAUGAAAGCGGUACGCGAGCUGGGUUCAGAACGUCGUGAGACAGUUCGGUCCAUAUCCGGUGUAGGCGUUAGAAUAUUGAGAGGAGCCCUCUUUAGUACGAGAGGACCGAGAAGGACAUACCUCUGGUGUACCAGUUAUCGUGCCAACGGUAAACGCUGGGUAGCUAUGUAUGGAGUGGAUAACCGCUGAAAGCAUCUAAGUGGGAAGCCCACCUCAAGAUAAG
This 1233-nucleotide ribosomal RNA is filed under the name metagenome. RNAcentral's name for it is "bacterial LSU rRNA". It matches the Rfam family "Bacterial large subunit ribosomal RNA", at positions 1564 to 2808 of the family's 2925-position model. The record is from RNAcentral.